AGUCUGUCACCCCUACAAACAGUGGGUCUGCAAUAUGCAGGCACCAGCUGUGUGCACCCCGCAUCACGGACGCGGACCCAUUCACUUGAAUGGGUCCGCAAUCGGGACGGUCGGUGCGGAACAGAGGCACAGAACCACUACUGGCCGUAUCAAAUUUUGGGUCUGCACAAGAAUUCCAGUUUUUUCUCACUCCAAUCAAUAGAAAAGGCUAUUCUCAUUCACAAAUACG
Molecule: long non-coding RNA, 229 nt
Organism: Bufo bufo (common toad)
Lineage: Eukaryota; Metazoa; Chordata; Amphibia; Anura; Bufonidae
Exons: 3
Source: RefSeq, a predicted model, not a curated record